UCUAGGGGUGGCCCGUGGGGCCUGAGAACAUACCCUCGAACCUGAUCUGGGUAAUGCCAGCGUAGGAACGACGCGA
RNAcentral lists this non-coding RNA (76 nucleotides) under bovine gut metagenome. The record is from RNAcentral.